AUGGCCGACGCCCCGCCGAGUUUCGGCGGCCUGGCCGUCGACCCGCCCGCAAAGGUGAAGAAGAAGCCGCCAAGGAAGCCGCGGUCGGAGUGCACGCCGGAGGAGAUCGCCAAGUUGGACGCAGAAUCGGCGAAGAGGAGGGAACGGAGAGCGGUCGUCAAGCUCAAUGCCGUCGCGGCCAAGAGAGCCGCCAUGCACGAGGAGCUGGAGGCCGCGCGGCGCAAGACCGCUGCCGACGAGAAGGAGGACCUCGUCAACAAAGCGCACGCCAUCCUCAUGCUUGGCAUGGGCCGUCCUGCCGGGUUCCCUGCAGCGGCCGUCGCCCCGGCGAGCACCAGCUCAUCGGUCGCCCGGCCUACGCACUGCCAGUCGCCGACGUCGCGCACCACGCCCAUGUCACCCGGCUUCCCUCCACCAAGGCACGACGGACACACCCGUUUCUCGGGGUCGCCGGAGGUGGGCUUGUUCGCGCCGUCCACACCGCGCCCCGCGGCCGUCAUCGACCUCAACGUCACGCCCGGGUCCAGCAGCGGUGGCCGACCGUCCGUCGAGACGCUAAGAAAGCAGGCACGGGCACCGUUCACGGGCACCAUGCCGGUCCCCCGUGUCUUGUUUGACGGAAUGCCAACCCCAACGCCAGCGGUCGACGACCCCUUCUACAACCGGUACAUGGAGGACGUGAUCUUCGACGGUGGCCAUGGCCGUACCUACGACCUCGAUGAGACCCAAAGUCAGGAUGGCCGUGCCGAGUACGUCCCCGACGAAGAGGUCGACGACCGUGCUGACUACGACCACGGUGACUCGUGGCAUGAAGACGAUGACAUCUAUGUCGAAUGUGAUGAUGAAGAAGAAGAAAGCAAUGACGUUGAUAUUAGUGGUGCGCCAUUGUUCAUCGACGAGCUCACCCAAAGAACCGAGGCACAAAAGAAGAGGAAGAGCAUUCGCACGGGUUCAUAUACACAAGAUGAGGACAAGUUGAUUUGCCAAGCUUGGAUGGAGAUUAGCCAAGAUCCGAGGACCGGCGCGCAACAAAAGGGCAUUGUUUUUUGGACGAGAGUCCACAAAACAUUCCAUGAAAGGAAGAUGUUUGAGCCCUACCAAAUUACAAGCAACCGUGGCAUCGGCUCUAUUCAAAAAAGAUGGUUGUUCAUCCAACAAGAGUGCAACAAGUAUUGCGCCGCAUUUGAGAGCGUUGAAGCACGGCCCGUGAGUGGUCUCGGCGUUGGGGACAUGGCAUUUCAAUCUUUGGAGGCAUUCAAGGCCCGGCACAAUGACAAGCCAUUUACUCUUACGCAUUGUUGGACGGUCAUCAACAAUUGCCCCAAGUUCAAGGACCAAUACCGUGAACUUCAAAGAAAGAGAGGCAAGAAGACGGCCAAGUUCGCCGGAGGUGGGGAUGGCGAGGCGUUGAAGAGGCCGAGGGGCAAGAACAACUCCAAGGUGGACGACAUACGUGACGCGUCAUCCAUGGCCUUGCAUGAGACUUUGCAUGGCAUGAUGUCCCAAAAGGAUGUGAAGGACGAGAAGAAGCGGCAAAGCAAGGACGAGCAAAUGAAGCAGUACCUAGACCUUCAAAGACAGAAGCUUGAGAUGGAGGAGGCGGCCAAGAGGAGGAAGCUCGACAUGGAGGAGGCGGCCCGGCAAAGGCAACUCGACAUGGAGGAGGUGGCCCGGCAAAGGCAGUUGGACAUCGAGGCCAACAACGUCAAGGCUAGGCAGAGGCAGCUCGACAUCGAGGUCACCAAUGCCGCCACCAAAGCGAAGGAGGUGGCCCUUGCGAUCAUGAGCGUGGACUUGUCGAAGAUGAGCGACAAGACGAGGGCCUGGUUCGAGGCCAGGCAGAAGGAGAUGCUCGACGCCGAAGGCCUGAACUAG
RNAcentral lists this ribosomal RNA (1875 nucleotides) under Triticum aestivum (bread wheat). RNAcentral describes it as "partial small subunit ribosomal RNA". The record is from RNAcentral. Lineage: Eukaryota; Viridiplantae; Streptophyta; Magnoliopsida; Poales; Poaceae.